Molecule: long non-coding RNA, 352 nt
Filed under: Physcomitrium patens
Lineage: Eukaryota; Viridiplantae; Streptophyta; Bryopsida; Funariales; Funariaceae
Description: long non-coding RNA (PPAT_LNC005084)
Source: RNAcentral
UAAUUUUUAAAUAAGAAAAAAUAAUGUUGUAUAUAUAUUCUUUAAUUUCACGUCAAUUGUUUAUGUCCUUGUAACUUGUCUCCCAACAAAGUAAAUCCUAUCUUUCCUUGCAUCGAAACACACACACACACAAACACAAUAUUUCACUGAUUAGUAACUUCACUUUGAUUUACAACUGAAACCAUGUCAGAUAUGGGCUUUGUUGCCACUUUCGUAGUACCGACACCCACAGCAUCGAAGCCACGAAAACAGUGCCACCGCUCACCAUCUCUGCUCCAAAAGUCCAACAUCAUCAUCAACAAACACAGGUUUCGAUUCAGAAGUUGUGAACUAGUGACACGGAAGAGUCAUC